RNAcentral lists this ribosomal RNA (1202 nucleotides) under uncultured marine group I thaumarchaeote. Its description in RNAcentral is "bacterial SSU rRNA". It matches the Rfam family "Archaeal small subunit ribosomal RNA", at positions 104 to 1306 of the family's 1478-position model. The record is from RNAcentral. Lineage: Archaea; Thermoproteati; Nitrososphaerota.
UCAACCUACCCUAUGGACGGGGAUAAUCUCGGGAAACUGAGCAUAAUACCCGGCAGACCACUUAUCCUGGAAUGGUUAGUGGUUAAAAUGAUUCGUCGCCAUAGGAUGGGACUGCGGCCUAUCAGCUUGUUGGUGAGGUAAUGGCCCACCAAGGCGAUUACAGGUACGGGCUCUGAGAGGAGAGGCCCGGAGAUGGGUACUGAGACAAGGACCCAGGCCCUAUGGGGCGCAGCAGGCGAGAAAACUUUGCAAUGUGCGAAAGCACGACAAGGUUAAUCCGAGUGAUUUCUGCUAAAGGAAUCUUUUGUUAGUUCUAAAAAUACUAGUGAAUAAGGGGUGGGCAAGUUCUGGUGUCAGCCGCCGCGGUAAAACCAGCACCUCAAGUGGUCAGGAGGAUUAUUGGGCCUAAAGCAUCCGUAGCCUGUUCUAUAAGUUUGCGGUUAAAUCUAUACGCUCAACGUAUAGGCUGCCGUAAAUACUGUAGAACUAGGGAGUGGGAGAGGUAGACGGUACUCGAUAGGAAGGGGUAAAAUCCUUUGAUCUAUUGAUGACCACCUGUGGCGAAGGCGGUCUACCAGAACACGUUCGACGGUGAGGGAUGAAAGCUGGGGGAGCAAACCGGAUUAGAUACCCGGGUAGUCCCAGCUGUAAACGAUGCAGACUCGAUGAUGCAAUGGCAUAGAGCUAUUGCAGUAUCGCAGGGAAGCCGUUAAGUCUGCCGCCUGGGAAGUACGUACGCAAGUAUGAAACUUAAAGGAAUUGGCGGGGGAGCACCACAAGGGGUGAAGCCUGCGGUUCAAUUGGAGUCAACGCCAGAAAUCUUACCCGGAGAGACAGCAGAAUGAAGGUCAGGCUGAAGACCUUACCAGACAAGCUGAGAGGUGGUGCAUGGCCGUCGUCAGCUCGUGCCGUGAGAUGUCCUGUUAAGUCAGGUAACGAGCGAGAUCCCUGCCACUAGUUGCUAUCAUUACUCUCAGGAGUAGUGGGGCGAAUUAGUGGGACCGCCACAGUUAAUGUGGAGGAAGGAAGGGGCCACGGCAGGUCAGUAUGCCCCGAAACUCUGGGGCCACACGCGGGCUGCAAUGGUAGUGACAAUGGGCUCCUAACUCGAAAGAGAGAGGCAAUCCACAAACACUACCACAGUUAUGACUGAGGGCUGUAACUCGCCCUCACGAAUAUGGAAUCCCUAGUAACUGCGUGUC